ACGAAAUAAAUUUUAAAUUGGUUUUUUUUUUUCGUAAUACCUAUCUGUCUAUAAAGCGCAGUUGGCCAGUUAGCUGUUAGCGGAACAUCAAAAAACAAUGACAGGAUUUUGCGAGUCGUUUGUUUUUUGUCAAAAAGUUGGAAGAGUAAUUUUUUCCCCAUCACCUUUUAAUUAAUCAUUACUUCGCGAGAAUGCUUGCAAUAGUUAAGGCAGUAAAGAAAUGCAGCAGCAGCAGUUAGAUAAGCACCUUUUCCAUUAGCGUUUAGUGGGGGCAUUUGCCUAUAUAUACGUAGGUACUUAUGCACCUACAUCGCGUUUUCCUUGUUCUUGUAUAAAGGGCACUACAUUGCUCGGGGGAAAAUUUCCAAAAAGCAAGGAUAUAAUUUACGUGUGGCUGUAAUUGGUUUCCACGAAUUGCUUAUCAUUGAGAAUCUAUUUUGUAGACAUACAACUACGUAUGGAACUAAAUAAGAGUAGGUACGUAUAAGAGGGUAAAUACGAAUAUUAGUAAAUCUUCAUUUACAGUAGGUAAACCGGCAAGUUGCGCUAUAGGUAUAAUUGGUAAAUUAGAAAAGUAUACCAAAGAAAAAUUGUAUAGCGCGCUUGCACUUUGGAAUCUAAAUCGAAUACAUUCCCCCCCGGACCCUGCAGGUGUUGAAACAAAGACGUCUGUUGCAAGCAUCAUGUAGCAGCUCAUCCCUCUUCUCUCCGCUAAAGACACUGGUUGAAAUUUUCCAUUAGUUCAUUCGCGUCUCUCUUCUUACAUACGUCAUGGCGAAAAAGUACCCAAACCUUACAACCAAAAACCGGAAAUGCAAAGGAAGAGUUUACAAAAAAAACGGCAACCAAAUUAACAACAACAGUCCUUAACUAAAAUAAUGCGAGGACUGCAGAAAAACGCAGUGGCAGUGCACCCCCGGCGACCUCCCCGCUUCCCCCCGGUAUUAUACGAAGGACGACGAUAAUUUGAAUCUAAUAAUUAAAAAAUUUGGUCAACUAUUGCGGAAGUAGGUACAAACUGUUUUAUAUUUCUCUCCCACCCCUACUAUUUUUGCGCACGCAUGUUAAAAAUAAUAACUUGUUUACAGUAAAUAUGGGGGAACAUUUCGAGUAGGGUCAUAGCACAGCUGAUAGAAUGGAGUUGCUGCUGCAUAUUUUCUUUUUGCAUAGCUUUAUCACUUUGGGAUACCAGCACCAUCGCAUGCCUUAAAUUAACUUCAAUUAAUAUCUACUCAGGUGGUGUGGAACCAAUCCUACGAAUGUACCUCACACAACCACAUCAACAACCCUCGAGCGGCAAAGGUCAAGAAGACCUAAUGAAAAGCGUCAGCCUACUUUUCGGCUCUGGAAGCGACCGACCUGUAAGGAACUGGCGCACAAGACCUACGGGCGGGCCUAAAAAAUAUGGAUACCGCUGCAAACUGGUGGAUGCGCAAACCGUCGACAAAACAACUGGACUCUUCCAAAAGAGAGGCGCUUGGAAAAAAGGAUUUUCAAUUUGUUGAAGAAUUUCUUAAGUUCACUUUUAAAAUAUAUUUAUAUUGAAAGAUGUAAAUUAAUAGCUUUGUUAUGCAACCCAGAAUGCAGAAGCGAGCUAGUAUGGUUGCAACACUGCAUCCGACAUUUCGCGAAGAUGCAGUUAAUGCAACUAAACACAGUAUCAUACUUUUCCGAAUGCAGAAUGGGACUGUCACUAGUGUGGUUGCAUAAUCACAGUUGCAUCCGAGCAUAUAUUGUGCGUAUGUUCUAUCCAUGAUUUCAUAAAUAUUUUAAGGUGGAUAACCGACUUCAAUAACUCCUUGCCCCCUACAAAUAAGUCUUCAUGAGUGCUGAUAGGAUGGCGCAGAAAUUUAGCAUGAAGAAAAAAAAGGAUGUGCAUGAAUUAUUUAAAAAAUAAACUGUAUAUAAGAAA
Long non-coding RNA from Photinus pyralis (common eastern firefly), 1912 nucleotides. RefSeq lists it as uncharacterized. The transcript has 2 exons. The record is from RefSeq and is a predicted model, not a curated record. NCBI's taxonomy places the organism in Eukaryota, Metazoa, Arthropoda, Insecta, Coleoptera, Lampyridae.